AGUGUGUAAGUUGCUUAACUGAAGUUCAAUUUUAUUUUGAUUUCAACUCAGUUGAUUCCUAAGUUUUUCACUGCUAUAAAUUGGUAUUUUCAUCAAUAUAGGAUCCAUAAUAGAAGAAAUAUAGAUAAUUUAGAAUUGUUGGGAAAGGAUGUUAUUGAAUGUUAAUAUUGCAAAAACACCGAUCCUUACUUCAAACUGCACACUGAUAAACGUUUU
RNAcentral lists this long non-coding RNA (216 nucleotides) under Nicotiana benthamiana. RNAcentral describes it as "long non-coding RNA (NBEN_LNC022093)". Lineage: Eukaryota; Viridiplantae; Streptophyta; Magnoliopsida; Solanales; Solanaceae. The record is from RNAcentral.